Kogia breviceps (pygmy sperm whale) is the source of this 2040-nucleotide non-coding RNA. The record is from RefSeq and is a predicted model, not a curated record. NCBI's taxonomy places the organism in Eukaryota, Metazoa, Chordata, Mammalia, Artiodactyla, Physeteridae.
GAGCGUGACCCAUUGAAACAGAAGGAGAACCGCGCAGCAGAAAGUCGGCAGGCACUCCCCAAUGUCCCCAGCCCCAGGAGAGACCCACGGCACCCGUGGACACUGAAGGUUCUCGUUAGUCCUGCAGUAAAGGAACCCUGACAGUCAUUUAAGAACGUCUGAAAAGUGCAAAAACACUGUGACAAUACAGUGUAAAUAUCCUUGCUCCACCCUAGGCUGAGGGCGGCAUCAGCAGCAGAUCAUGGAGCCACCUCUCCCUGAGGCCUCGCCUUCACAUCUCCAGGCUGUCCUAGGAGUUUUGGGAAUCAGCAACUAACCGUCCUUACCCAGGCCUGCCAGCUGGAGGCUCCGGCGGAAGCCAGCCAUGUGGAGAGAAACAGGGUGAGUAGUUCCAAAUCUGCUUGGAUGGAAUGACAGCCCCGCCAUGAGGGAGACAGAGUCACCAUGGAUUGCCCAUUUCUGGCCUUGGAGGGAGCAGGGCUGUCGCUGUCCCAUGGCCGGGAAGUCAGGAAAUGGAGAGUACUCCUCGAGUUCGGGUGUGGAAAAUACCUCCAAAUGUUGGGCAGCUUUAUGUGAGUGGGCUCCAGCAGGUACUGGCCUGGCUAACCUUCCAUGUUUCACAUUCCAUUAGGGGAGCCCAGUCCCCCACCCAGAGGGAAGGAGGAUACUGAUUGGUAAGUUGCUUCUUUUGACUUUGUACUUGAGUUUCAAGAUGGCUUUAUACAUCCCCAUCCUUAAUUGUACUUUGUAUUCACUUCAUUACAGCUAAGUGUGUCAAAGUUACAGCCUGGAAAAUGGACAAUUCCAUGACUCCCACCUUACGUUAUUUUAGAUUUUCUCUUUUCCAAAAAUGUAGGUGAAGAACAAUUUGCCAGACAUCUUCCAACACAAAAUAUGCUGCCAGGUGUCCCCCGGCCCUCCCCCCAACCCCCAUAAAUCCCUGAUAAAGGAAAAUGAAAAUGUAAACUUUGGAAAGCCCGUAUUCAAGGUUCACUUCUGGAAGUAUGCAAAUGAGACCUCCGGGCCACCCAAGCCCUUCUUGCCAGAACCUCGUGGGCCUGCGCUUUGAGGGCAGAGCUUCCCCGGCGCCUCCAGCGGCACUGGCUGCAGGCGAGAACGGGCCCACCAGUACCCUCUAAGGCACUCACCCCGACAUCAGAGACACUGGCUGGAAAGGAGGCAGGGCUCACGUUGGUUUUGGUUGGGUUUUUUAAAAUAUUUUUUUGUAAGAUGUUUGUUAAUAAUCAAAAGUAGAAAAUAAAAAUCUACAUUUCAUUAGAAUAAGAUGUUAUCAUGGAUGCCAUCUCCCAUGAUACUCUUUCCCCACCCCUCCCCAAAGCAGGGCCCUGCCCUGUCAUAAACAAAAAGCUUUAAGUGCCAAAGGUUGAUGCAUGAAAUAAUUACUUUUUCAUAAAAGUUAUGUACAAAAAUGGACCCCAACCAGUGAGGCCUCAUCUCAACCCAUUAUCACUCAAGAUUAAAACUCAGUACAUAGGUGUUAGCUUAAUCCAGCGUCUGCAGGCUGCAUCGGUGCCUUCAGGCUCUGUUAAGGAGAGUGGUCCUAAAGGACCUUCACUUUCGAAGGAGGCGAUGAAGAGAGCUGAGGGACGAGAAGCCCCGCAGAAGCCAUGUCCACACCCGGGCAGUCUGCCUCCCACCCCAGUCACCCCUUCUCAAACUCCCCCUCCCAGGUGGAGCGAGGCCCGGGAACGAACUCCUAAACCAAGGGGGCAGUGACUUUGGGCCUGGUCUGGUCCACAGGCCUCUGCUGCGUGGGGUUCCUGGCAACCUGCCUGGGGACUCAGAUGUUUCCUGGUUCUGCAGUGCUGGCCCGACCACGUACUGGCUCUCUCAGGUGGCCUCGGGAGCCUGAUCUUUUCUUGUCCUUAUCCUUCACCUGCCAUCCACCCACGGCCCACCCUCAUGCACUCAGCCCUGCGAGCUGAGCUUCCCCAGCGUAGCAUGGGAAUAACAACCCUGGGAGGGCACCCUGCAUGAGUCAGGGUGACCUCUACAGUGUGCAGAGGUGGACCUCACCUU